Molecule: non-coding RNA, 69 nt
Organism: Mycena rebaudengoi
Lineage: Eukaryota; Fungi; Basidiomycota; Agaricomycetes; Agaricales; Mycenaceae
Source: the annotation of a GenBank genome assembly
AGUCCUAUGGUCUAGCGGCCUAUGACGCUCAUAACUGUGAGAGUGCGUGUUCGAACCGCGCUAGGAUCG